AUUGAACGCUGGCGGCAGGCCUAACACAUGCAAGUCGAGCGGAUGAAGGGAGCUUGCUCCUGGAUUCAGCGGCGGACGGGUGAGUAAUGCCUAGGAAUCUGCCUGGUAGUGGGGGAUAACGUCCGGAAACGGGCGCUAAUACCGCAUACGUCCUGAGGGAGAAAGUGGGGGAUCUUCGGAUCUCACGCUAUCAGAUGAGCCUAGGUCGGAUUAGCUAGUUGGUGGGGUAAAGGCCUACCAAGGCGACGAUCCGUAACUGGUCUGAGAGGAUGAUCAGUCACACUGGAACUGAGACACGGUCCAGUCUCCUACGGGAGGCAGCAGUGGGGAAUAUUGGACAGUGGGCGAAAGCCUGAUCCAGCCAUGCCGCGUGUGCGAAGAAGGUCUUCGGAUUGUAAAGCACUUUAAGUUGGGAGGAAGGGCAGUAAGUUAAUACCUUGCUGUUUUGACGUUACCAACAGAAUAAGCACCGGCUAACUUCGUG
Molecule: ribosomal RNA, 484 nt
Filed under: uncultured bacterium
Lineage: Bacteria
Description: partial 16S ribosomal RNA
Rfam family: Bacterial small subunit ribosomal RNA
Source: RNAcentral